UUAAAAUGUAAUUAAAAACACUAAGGUAGUAUUAGUUAUGUUCUUGAAACUUAAAAAAUUUGGCGGUAUUUUAGUCUAUUCAGAGGAACCUGUUCUAUAAUCGAUAAUCCACGAUGGACCUUACUUAAGUUUGUUAAUCAGUUUAUAUACCGUCGUUAUUAGAAUAUUUUAUAAGAAUAAUAAUUUUCAUAAAAUUUUAUAAAAACAUAUAUCAGAUCAAGGUGUAGCUUAUAUUUAAGUAGAAAUGGGUUACAAUAAAAAUAUUUAUACGGAAAUAAUUAUGAAAAAAUUAUUUAAGGUGGAUUUGAUAGUAAAAUUAUAAAGAUUAAUAAUUUGAUUUUAGCUCUAAAAUAUGU
RNAcentral lists this ribosomal RNA (356 nucleotides) under Lotophila atra. RNAcentral's name for it is "partial 12S ribosomal RNA". Lineage: Eukaryota; Metazoa; Arthropoda; Insecta; Diptera; Sphaeroceridae. The record is from RNAcentral.